Molecule: unclassified non-coding RNA, 413 nt
Filed under: soil metagenome
Description: partial contains 5.8S ribosomal RNA, internal transcribed spacer 2, and large subunit ribosomal RNA
Rfam family: 5.8S ribosomal RNA (bases 1-120)
Source: RNAcentral
GAUGAAGAACGUAGCGAAAUGCGAUAAGUAAUGUGAAUUGCAGAAUUCAGUGAAUCAUCGAAUCUCUGAACGCACCUUGCGCUCUUUGGUAUUCCGAAGAGCAUGCCUGUUUGAGUGUCAUGAAAAUAUCAACCUUGACUUGGGUUUUGUGCUCUAGUCUCGGCUUGGAAUUGGGUGCUUGCCGCUUUUACGAGCGGCUCACCUUAAAUGUAUUAGCUGGAUCUGUCUUUGAGACUUGGUUUGACUUGGCGUAAUAAGUAUUUCGCUAAGGACAUUCUUCGGAGUGGCCUCGUUUCUAGGACGCUUGUCCGCUUUCCAAUACAAGUUCCACCUCGUGGACAUGACUUUUUAUUAUCUGGCCUCAAAUCAGGUAGGACUACCCGCUGAACUUAAGCAUAUCAAUAAGCGGAGGA